MicroRNA precursor from Medicago truncatula (barrel medic), 279 nucleotides. It matches the Rfam family "MIR2655 microRNA precursor family". The record is from Rfam. Lineage: Eukaryota; Viridiplantae; Streptophyta; Magnoliopsida; Fabales; Fabaceae.
CCCUUAACUAUUAAAAGUUUCGUUUUGGUCCCUUAACUUAUUUUUUGGUCUCGUUUUGGUCCCUUAACUUAUUUUUUGGUUUCAUUUUGGUCCCUGAACUCUAAUACAUUCAUCCUAACAUAAAGGACCAAAGUGGUUGACGGAGGAAGAGUUAAGGGACCAAAACGAAACCAAAAAGUAAGUUAAAGGACCAAAACGAAACUUUUAACAGUUAAGGGACCAAAACGAAACCAAAAAGUAAGUUAAGUGACCAAAACGAAACUUUUAAUAGUUAAGGGA